GCUUCAGUUCAUACUACCAAUUUCAUCUGCAGAUCUUUGGUAGAUACCGAUGAUUGGAGUUAAUACUGAGGAUCAAAUGGAAUUUCAUUCAUAAAAAAGAUCUUGAUCGCCUUUGGACCCUCUAUCCGCCAUGGUACAAGAUCUAUGGUUCUUGAUUUUGGCAGAGAU
Molecule: long non-coding RNA, 168 nt
Organism: Telopea speciosissima
Lineage: Eukaryota; Viridiplantae; Streptophyta; Magnoliopsida; Proteales; Proteaceae
Exons: 3
Source: RefSeq, a predicted model, not a curated record